CGCCCGCGCUCCAGCCCCCGCCCCGGGCCGCUACUCUUCGGCGGGGCCCGCGGGGCGCAGGCUGCUCUGCCGCUGGGGCUCCGGUCCGCCUGCACUGUGACGUGGGCAGCAGCUGGGGCGGGCAGUGCCUCGGUCUCCGCUCGGGGACGCGGUGAUUUUCUUUUUUUUUUCCGACUGCCGGAGCCCGUGGUGGUGGUGCUGGGGGGCGGGGUCGGCGUGGGCAGAGCUGCGGGGGCUGCCGCGGAGGCCGCCCUAGGAGGGAGGGGGCGGACCGGGGUGUGAGGUGAGCGGCCGUAAUGAGCACUCGCAGGAGCAAGGGGCCCGGCGCGGGCCUCCAGGGCGGGAGGCCCUGACGCGGGGAGGAGGCGGCCGGGCGGCCAAGGGCCUCCCUGGGGAGUGUGCGGAGGCCGGGACGGAGCAGCGCGUAACUAGGGAGAGGAUAGGCCGGGCUGGUGGAGAUGCGGGGAGAGACCAGCCAAAGCUAAAGAGCCAAAGCAAAGGUGCUGCGGGGAGGACAGAGGAGCGGGAGGAAAGGGGAAGGAGAGAAGAAAAGAGGCAGGGAAACCCGGAGAGAAAGUGGGAGGGAGGCCAAGGGGACAGGGGAGGGGUGGGAAGAACGUAGGGCGGGGAGCAGAAAGGAAGGAGGGAUCCAGAAAUGGACCCGGAGGGAGAGAGGAAGGCGGAGAGCAGCUGUGAGGGAGAGGCUUGGCGGGAGCCUCAGCAAAGAGGAGGAAGAGAGCAGAGGGAGAGGGCAGAUUUGUUGCCUAGGCACUGGCUGAGGGUCACGAUGGAAGGAGGCAGUAUUUAUUUUUUAAAUUUAUUUGACAUAUAUUUACAAGGCAACUACAUUGUCGGCACUGCCCUAGGCUCCAGGGCCACAGAGACAACCAUAGCUUCAGCCUCCUGCUCCGAAUGACAUCUCUCAGAAAUCUUCCCUGACUGUCCAGGCGGAAUUAAUGGUUCACUUCCCUGUUCCUCUAUACCUUGAGCAUCCCUCUACAAUUGAAUGCUCCUUCAUUCCAUUUCAUUGCACCAGCAUGUAUCGAGGGUCUACUGUUAUCUAUCGCUGAAGAGAAUGAUUGCAAAAAACUUGAAUGAACAUGGAAAAUGCUGAUGAUCAGAUUUCCAUUGAAAAGAAAGGUGUGCUCCUUGGGGUGGGGGUGUUGUUGUAAUUGUCAGAAAAUGUUUAAUAAAAGAAACAGAAA
RNAcentral lists this long non-coding RNA (1205 nucleotides) under Homo sapiens (human). RNAcentral's name for it is "HSALNT0172055". Lineage: Eukaryota; Metazoa; Chordata; Mammalia; Primates; Hominidae. The record is from RNAcentral.